GUUCUCUUGUGUUGGGAAAGGGUCUCCAAGGUGGUUUAACAGCUCUUUUCUGGAAGCUGUGGAGAAGAUUGAGACCUUCCAAGGAGUAUAACCUGAGACAUUUGGGCAUUUUUAAUGGACAUUCAAGGAUGGCCACCACUUUGCCAGUUUCUUGCAAUGAUGAAGUAAGACCCAUGACUUGGGACAAAGAAGAGCCAACAGAGUUUUUUACAUCACUCAUUUCAACAGUGCACUUUACUUUGUACUCAAGAAAACAUGAGGUAAUUACCAACUGUAUCCUAACUAGUUUCUCCCUUUUUUGCUAUGGUAGGUAGAAUUUUGGUCUCAGGACUUUUGCCCCCUGGUGAUAUUCCUGUGGUUUACAUUAUGUUAAUUGGCAAGAAAGAAUUUGCAAAUGUAAUUAAGGUUAUUAAUCAAUUAACCUUAAAAUGGAUUCUCUGAGUGGGUCCAAUGUAAUUACAGAAGCCCUUAAAGCAGAACUUUCUCCCAGCUAAGGACAUGAGAGAAAUUCCAAGUACAAGAAGGAUAUGAGGCACUGUGGUUGGAUCUGAGAUAAAGGGGCCACAUGUAAGGACCAAAGAGAGGCCUAUAAUAGCAAGGAACUGAUUCUGCCAACAACCUGGGUGAACUUGGAAGUGGAUUCUUUCCCAGAGACUCCAGAAAGGAGCACAGCCCCGCCAACACCUUGAAUUGGGCCUCCUGAGACUCCAAGCAGAGAACCCAGUUGAACCACACUAUGCUCAGACUUCUGACUUACAGAAACUGCGAGAUAAGAAAUACAUGUUGGCUUAGCUUUCUAGAGUAUAUGAUCAUUGGCUGUAAUAAUAAAAUAUGAUUGUGCCAGGUUUCUGCCUUUUGUUUGAAAAAGAAUGAGCAGUGGAGACCUCCUUUCUUGGUAGGGGCUGACAGGCAAGCAUCUUCAUGGCAAGGUUCUGUGGACACACUUGGUCACUGUGCUCCCAGGGGCAAGGGGGCUCAGCCUCCCAUUUUAUAAUCUAUCUGUGCAGUCCAAUGUAGAAGCCACUGGCUGCAUGUGACUUGAAAUUAAAUAAAACUGAAAAUCCAAUUUCUCAAUUGUGUUAGGUACAAUUUAGGUGUUCAAUAUUUAUGUGUGACUAAUGGCUACUGAGUUAGAAGGCAUAGGUAUAGAGUAUACAGGAUGUAUGUAGGUAAAUAUAUAUAUAUAUCCUAUAUUGUAGAAAGAAAGUUCGAUUGGAAAGCUCUGUUCUUGAUGAUGAUCAGUGAUGACAUCCAGUUGCAACUGUUCUUUUUUCUCAUUUGGGGCCCGGAGAGGUCGGAUUCCUCUACUCACUAGUAGAACCAUUACAAAGCAGAAAUCAUGCAAAUUCUCCUGACUAUAGCAAGAAAUAUGAUUUUUAAAAAACUUUCAUGUCUCCUUUCUUCUCUUAUCACUUAUGUAAUUUAUCUCCUGAGGUUAGAAAGCCCUAGGCAGAGCAUUCUGGGAAUACCAGUGACAGGGUAUAAGGUCUUUCUUUUUUUUUUCCAGAUGGAGGAAGAUUUACUGCAUGGUAAUGGCCAAGAAGUACCCUGGCCGAGACUGCAAGAUUUCCCAAGGGUUUCCUGCUAUAGCAAGACAAAGAUACCUGCUGGGGCAGGCCAGUAAGGUCACCCCCUGAAGCAAACAGACUAAGGCUAUUAGACUUGCCACAGUAUGCCCAAAGGGGACACUAGCUAGAAGAGGAAAAUGAGGCUUAUACUCGUGGCAGACUGAAACAUCCAGUUUCAGGAUCAAACUUCUGCCUUGGGUUCAAACAUGGAGAAAUGAGGCUUAUGACUUCCUAGCCGAACUCAACUGUAAUUGGUGGACAGGGAUUAAAGCCUACAGGUGAUGCAUUUGAAGAGAGAACUGCAGGCCCAAGUAAAGAGCCCAGAAGAUGUGAGUUUGAAUCCCGCAUCUAUAUUGCUGUCAUUCUGUGUUAGUUACUGAAACUUUGUGAGCUGUACGUUUUGUUAUCUAUGAUGCAGAUAAAAUAAUUGGAGGAUAAAACAACCCCAAUUUCUAGGGGAUUACUGUAAAGUUGUAAGGAGUAAAGGAGAGAAUUACACAGACUGUCUCACAUGCAGGAAGCAUGUCAGGGAACAGUAGCUCAUAUUAUACCUGUGUCAGUUCAGGUUGCAUCAGAAAAGGCCAUCUAAUCCCAUCCCUGGUCAGUCACUAGUGUAGUUUUGUCUCCAUGAUCACCUCAAUCACCACUCCUAUGGCCAUGACCUCAACCCUGAUGUUUCAAUAAUUGUAUUGCCCCCCACCCAAACUCCCUACAUCACUCUUCAAACAUCUCACUUUCUCAUUUCUACCUGAAAUGUUCCUCUGAACACCUAAUUUCUUAUAAUUGUCCUAUCCCACCAAGACUUCCCAUGUAGCAUCUCAUUGAGCAAAAUAAAAGCAACCAAAAAAAGACUCUUACCAACACAUACACCUCUCUCCUGGCCUUAGUGUUCAUAGUCUCUGUCUUUCCUCCUGUUGAGAUGGGCAAAUUGUGCUUCUAUCUAAUGUCAGCCUCACUACCUCUAUCCUGCAUCCAGUGGCCCCCUUUCAUAUUCUAGAACUUUAUUCCUGCAUUUGUCCUCCUGCACCAUUGAUUUUUCCUUUUUUACUGGAUAAUUUCCAUGGCACCAAAUACAGUAUUUCUCAUAUUUAAAAUAUUCUUCUUAGACUCCUAGCCUCCUUCAACUACUCCCUCUUUUCUCAGCUCCCCUUUAAGGUAUCUUUUUUUGGUGUUUUCUUAUCUUAUGAAAUUCUCAGGGUUUAAUCUUCAGAACUUUGUUCUGCUACACUCACCCCCAGGAAUUACGUGCAGUCCCAUGACAUUAAACACCUUCUAUACGCUACCGAUCUUACAUGCCCUGUCAGCACCUUUCCUCUGAACUACAGGUCCUUAUUUCCAGCUGCCCAUUCAACAUCUCCACCUGGAUGGACACUAGGUAUCUCAAGUGUGUCCAAAAAUGAAAUGUUGAUUUUCAGUCCCUAACACCCGAAUCUUCCCUUCUAUGGAUGUUUAUAGUUCAAUAAAAGGAAUUCUAUUCUUCAUUUGCUU
Molecule: long non-coding RNA, 3056 nt
Filed under: Marmota monax (woodchuck)
Lineage: Eukaryota; Metazoa; Chordata; Mammalia; Rodentia; Sciuridae
Source: RNAcentral